AGUGAACGCUGGCGGUAGGCCUAACACAUGCAAGUCGAACGGCAGCACAGUAAGAGCUUGCUCUUACGGGUGGCGAGUGGCGGACGGGUGAGGAAUACAUCGGAAUCUACUUUUUCGUGGGGGAUAACGUAGGGAAACUUACGCUAAUACCGCAUACGACCUACGGGUGAAAGCAGUGGAUCUUCGGACCUUGCGCGAUUGAAUGAGCCGAUGUCGGAUUAGCUAGUUGGCGGGGUAAAGGCCCACCAAGGCGACGAUCCGUAGCUGGUCUGAGAGGAUGAUCGGCCACACUGGAACGGAGACACGGUCCAGACUCCUACGGGAGGCAGCAGUGGGGAAUAUUGGACAAUGGGCGCAAGCCUGAUCCAGCCAUACCGCGUGGGUGAAGAAGGCCUUCGGGUUGUAAAGCCCUUUUGUUGGGAAAGAAAAGCAGCAGGUUAAUACCCCGCUGUUCUGACGGUACCCAAAGAAUAAGCACCGGCUAACUUCGUG
RNAcentral lists this ribosomal RNA (492 nucleotides) under uncultured bacterium. Its description in RNAcentral is "partial 16S ribosomal RNA". It matches the Rfam family "Bacterial small subunit ribosomal RNA", at positions 29 to 507 of the family's 1533-position model. The record is from RNAcentral.